AAUAUCAAAGGUGAGCCAGUACAGGAUGGACCCGCGUCUGAUUAGCUAGUUGGUAAGGUAACGGCUUACCAAGGCGACGAUCAGUAGCCGACCUGAGAGGGUGAUCGGCCACAUUGGAACUGCGACACGGUCCAAACUCCUACGGGAGGCAGCAGUGGGGAAUAUUGCACAAUGGGCGAAAGCCUGAUGCAGCAACGCCGCGUGAGUGAUGAAGGCCUUCGGGUCGUAAAACUCUGUCCUCAAGGAAGAUAA
RNAcentral lists this ribosomal RNA (252 nucleotides) under Clostridioides difficile. Its description in RNAcentral is "partial 16S ribosomal RNA". It matches the Rfam family "Bacterial small subunit ribosomal RNA", at positions 197 to 451 of the family's 1533-position model. Lineage: Bacteria; Bacillati; Bacillota; Clostridia; Peptostreptococcales; Peptostreptococcaceae. The record is from RNAcentral.